AGCACCGAGCGCUGCAGCCGGGGCGGCACCAGCGGGGACGGCAGCUCCCGCAGGAAAUCCUUCAGGAUCCCUGCAAGACACCACGGGGUCCCGGUUGUGGGGCCAGGGUCCCAUUUUGGGGCUGGGAUCCCAUUUGUUAUACUGGGAACCCUUUUUUUUGAUACCAGGAACCCCCCUUUUCACCCCCAAAUCCCUCCCUUUCAACCCCAAAAUCCCCCCCGGGAUGUCCCCGCGUGUCCCCCUGACCGGUGACCACGUUGAUGUCCGGGCAGAGCCGCUCGGACAAUGCCACGGCCGCGCUGUCCCUCUCGAAGGCGUCCCGCAGCUCCUUCUUGGCCGCGGCCGAGCCGCAGAGCCGGUACAGCCCCACCACCUGCGGGGUCACUGCUGGUCACUCUCCGGCCACCGGUCACUCUCCGGCCACCGGUCAUCAGCGGUCACCCCCCGGGCCCGGUCAUUCCUCGGCUUCAGUCGCCCCUUGGUCACUCCCUGGUCACUCCCCGGUCACUCCUGGUCACCCCUGGUCACUCCCUGGUCACUCCUGGUCAUCCCGGUCACUCCCUGGUCACCCCUUGGUCACUCCCUGGUCACUCCUGGUCACUCCGUGGUCACUCUGGUCACUCCUGGUCACUCCCUGGUCACCCCUGGUCACCCCUGGUCACUCCCUGGUCACUCCCCGGUCACCCCUGGUCACUCUGGUCAUCCCGGUCACUCCGUGGUCACUCUGGUCACCUCUGGUCACCCCGGUCACUCCGUGGUCACUCUGGUCACUCUGGUCACUCUGUCACCACACUCACCGCCAGCCCACGCCGCUCGAUCUCGGCCAGGCACUUGAGCACGAGCAGCGGGACCUGUCCCGGGUGUCCCUCGCGGGCCACCAGCUGUGACAGCUCCACGCCGAACACUCGCGGGCCCGGGGCCACCCGCGGCUGUGGCGGUGACAGCGACAGCGACAGCGACAGGCGACAGAACAGCACAGCCCGCGGCCGCAGAGCCAGCGCCAGCGCCUGUGACCGGCCACCUGCGGGGACACGGGGACAUCAGAGGGACAGCGGGACACCCCCGAGGGUGGGAAUCGGCCCAGACCNNNNNNNNNNNNNNNNNNNNNNNNNNNN
This 1115-nucleotide long non-coding RNA is filed under the name Parus major (Great Tit). RNAcentral describes it as "lncRNA (ENSPMJG00000002088.1)". The record is from RNAcentral. Lineage: Eukaryota; Metazoa; Chordata; Aves; Passeriformes; Paridae.